Molecule: ribosomal RNA, 557 nt
Filed under: uncultured bacterium
Lineage: Bacteria
Description: bacterial SSU rRNA
Rfam family: Bacterial small subunit ribosomal RNA
Source: RNAcentral
ACGGGUGAGUAACGCGUGGGAAUCUACCCAUCUCUACGGAAUAACGCAUGGAAACGUGUGCUAAUACCGUAUACGUCCUUCGGGAGAAAGAUUUAUCGGAGAUGGAUGAGCCCGCGUUGGAUUAGCUAGUUGGUGGGGUAAAGGCCUACCAAGGCGACGAUCCAUAGCUGGUCUGAGAGGAUGAUCAGCCACACUGGGACUGAGACACGGCCCAGACUCCUACGGGAGGCAGCAGUGGGGAAUAUUGGACAAUGGGCGCAAGCCUGAUCCAGCCAUGCCGCGUGAGUGACGAAGGCCCUAGGGUUGUAAAGCUCUUUCACCGGUGAAGAUAAUGACGGUAACCGGAGAAGAAGCCCCGGCUAACUUCGUGCCAGCAGCCGCGGUAAUACGAAGGGGGCUAGCGUUGUUCGGAUUUACUGGGCGUAAAGCGCACGUAGGCGGACUAUUAAGUCAGGGGUGAAAUCCCGGGGCUCAACCCCGGAACUGCCUUUGAUACUGGUAGUCUUGAGUUCGAGAGAGGUGAGUGGAAUUCCGAGUGUAGAGGUGAAAUUCGUAGA